Long non-coding RNA from Macaca mulatta (Rhesus monkey), 1874 nucleotides. NCBI's taxonomy places the organism in Eukaryota, Metazoa, Chordata, Mammalia, Primates, Cercopithecidae. The record is from Ensembl.
AUGGGCAAUGGCACAAUUCCAAAAAGGAUGGAGACCAGAAAUAGCACAAUGGUGAUGGAGUUCAUUAUUUUGGGGUUAACAGAAGAUCCUACGAUUUGUUCAAUCUUCUUUGUGGAUUUUUUAGGAAUCUAUGUCCCUUAUCUCCACGUCUCCACCCCUUUCCCGCUUUUCUGGAGGGCAGGAACCCCCCAACCCCUUCUCUCCGUGUCUCUACUCUCUCUUUUCUCUAGGCUUAUCUCCUUCACUAUGGGCAACCUUCCACCCUCCAUUCCUCCUUCUUCUCCCUUAGCCUGUGUUCUCAAGAACUUAAAACCUCUUCAACUUACACCUGAGCUGAAACCUAAAUGCCUUAUUUUCUUCUACAAUGCCGCUUGACCCCAAUACAAACUCGACAGCAGUUCCAAAUGGCCAGAAAAUGGCACUUUCGAUUUUUCCAUCCUACAAGAUCUAAAUAAUUCUUGUCGUUAAAUGGGCAAAUGGUCUGAGAUGCCUGGCAUCCAGGCAUUCUUUUACACAUCAGUCCCUCCCUAGUCUCUGUUCCAAAUGCAACUUAUCCCAAAUCUUCCUUCUUUCCCGCCAACCUGUCCGCUCAGUCCCAACCCCUAGUGUCGCUGAGUCUUUCUAAUAUUCCUUUUCUACAGACCCAUCUGACCUCUCCCCUCCUCUCCAGGCUGAGCUAAGUCCCAAUUUUUCCUCAGCCUCUGCUCCCCUACCCUAUAAUCCUUUUAUCACCUCUCCUCCUCACACCCGGUCUGGCUUACAGUUUCCUUCCGUGACUAGCCCUCCCCCACCCGCACAGCAAUUUCCUCUUAAAAAGGUGACUAGAGCUAAAGACAUAGUCAAGGUUAAUGCUCCUUUUUCUUUAUCCGAGCUCUCCCAAAUCAGUUAGUGUUUACGCUCUUUUUCAUCAAAUAUGAAAAACCCAGCCCAGUUCAUGGCUCAUUUAGCAGCAACCCUGAGACGCUUUACAGCCCUAGACCCUAAAAGGUCAAAAGGCCAUCUUAUUCUCAAUAUACGUUUUAUUACCCAAUCUGCUCCCGACAUUAAAUAAAACCCCAAAAAUUAAAUUCCAGCCCUCAAACCCCUCAACAGGACUUAAUUAACCUCACCUUCAAGUGUACAAUAAUAAAGUAGAGGCAGCCAAGUAGCAAUGUAUUUCUGAGUUGCAAUUCCUUGCCUCCACUGAGAAACCCCAGCCACAUCUCCAGCACACAAGAACUCCAAACACCUGAACCACAGCUGCCAGAGGUUCCUCCAGAACCUCCUCCCCCAGGAGCUUGCUACAGGUGCUGGAAAUCUGGCCACUAGGCCAAGGAAUGCCUGCAGCCCAGGAUUCCUCCUAAGCCCUGUCCCAUCUGUGUGAGACCCCACUGAAAAUCAGACUGUUCAACUCACUUGUCAGCCACUUCCAGAGCCCCUGGAACUCUGGCCCAGGGCUCUCUGACUGACUCCUUCCCAGAUCUUCUCGGCUUAGCAACUGAAGGCUGACACUGCCCAAUCACCUCAGAAGCCUACAGGACCAUCACAGGUGCUCUGGGUAACUUUCACAGUGGAGGGUAAGUCCGUCCCCUUCUUAAUCAAUACGGAGGCUACCCACUCCACAUUACCUUCUUUUCAAAGGCCUGUUUCCCUUGCCUCCAUAACUGUUGUAAGUAUUGAUGGCCAAGUUUCUAAACCUCUUAAAACUCCCCAACUCUGGUGCCAAUUUAGACAUUCUUUAAUGUACUCCUUUUUAGUUAUCCCCACCUGCCCGUUUCCCUUAUUAGGCCCAGACAUUUUAACUAAAUUAGCUGCUUCCCUGACUAUUCCUAGGCUACAGCCACACCUCAUUGCCGCCUUUUCCCCCAGUUCAAAGCCUCCUUCACAUGCUCCCC